Molecule: transfer RNA, 77 nt
Filed under: Stegodyphus mimosarum
Lineage: Eukaryota; Metazoa; Arthropoda; Arachnida; Araneae; Eresidae
Rfam family: tRNA
About the family: Transfer RNA (tRNA) molecules are approximately 80 nucleotides in length. Their secondary structure includes four short double-helical elements and three loops (D, anti-codon, and T loops). Further hydrogen bonds mediate the characteristic L-shaped molecular structure. tRNAs have two regions of fundamental functional importance: the anti-codon, which is responsible for specific mRNA codon recognition, and the 3' end, to which the tRNAs corresponding amino acid is attached (by aminoacyl-tRNA synthetases). tRNAs cope with the degeneracy of the genetic code in two manners: having more than one tRNA (with a specific anti-codon) for a particular amino acid; and 'wobble' base-pairing, i.e. permitting non-standard base-pairing at the 3rd anti-codon position.
Source: Rfam by way of RNAcentral
GCCUUUAUGGUGUAGUGGUCAGCAUACUGGGCGUGUAGUGUAUUCCAGAGAUCGUGGUUCGAGUCCCGGCGAAGGCA